UGCACGCGCGCUACACUGACAGAGACAACGAGUGGUGCCCCUUGUCCGAAAUGACUGGGUAAACUUGUGAAACUUUGUCGUGCUGGGGAUGGAGCUUUGUAAUUUUUGCUCUUCAACGAGGAAUUCCUAGUAAGCGCAAGUCAUCAGCUUGCGUUGACUACGUCCCUGCCCUUUGUACACACCGCCCGUCGCUACUACCGAUUGAAUGGCUUAGUGAGGACUUGGGAGAGUACAUCGGGGAGCCAGCAAUGGCACCCUGACGGCUCAAACUCUUACAAACUUGGUCAUUUAGAGGAAGUAAAAGUCGUAACAAGGUAUCUGUAGGUGAACCUGCAGAUGGAUCAUUUCGAUGAAAACCUUUUUUCUUGAGGUGUGGCUCGCACCUGUCCAACUAAACUUGAGCUACCUUUUUUCAACACGGUUGCAUCGGUUGGCCUGUCAAACAGUGCGGAUUUUCCGCAGUGGGCGACGGACCGACACUUAAUCAACACUUUUGAUGAUCUAGGAUUUGAAUGAUAAAAGUUCAUUUUUACAAAUGGAAUCGACUGGUAAUGCGGUCGUCUAAUUUUAAAAACAACUUUUGGCAACGGAUCUCUUGGUUCUCCCAUCGAUGAAGAACGCAGCGAAUUGCGAUAAGUAAUGUGAAUUGCAGAAGUGAAUCAUCGAAUCUUUGAACGCACCUUGCGCUCCCGCAGAUCUAAUCUGGGGAGCAUGCCUGUUUGAGGGCCCCAAAUUGUUUCCAACAACACUUUUUUUUUAACAAAAAAAAUUGGGGGAAUCG
RNAcentral lists this ribosomal RNA (781 nucleotides) under Ustilaginales sp. LM602. RNAcentral's name for it is "bacterial SSU rRNA". The stretch from base 1 to 347 matches the Rfam family "Eukaryotic small subunit ribosomal RNA", at positions 1488 to 1831 of the family's 1831-position model. Lineage: Eukaryota; Fungi; Basidiomycota; Ustilaginomycetes; Ustilaginales. The record is from RNAcentral.